GACUUGUUUUCAACCCCUCCCUGAUUUUUCGCACAUGAAUUGGUAAGCUUUGAAGUGUUCUUGAGUGAGACAUUUUUGCGCAAGCAAAAAGCGUCGACGACUUCAUCGCCCAUUUGUUGUUAUUAUUUUUCUGAGCGCAAGCUUCGAGAGAGAACGCGGCUGACAGUUGUAGUGUGAAUCAGGCAAACAUUCGUCUUAUAGUUUUCACAAUCGCUCUUGGUGCGAACUAUAAGAUAAAACAAAAAUAAUUAACUUAUUUCACCCCCCUUUUUGCUAGUUGACUUUUUAUAUGUUGGUUUCUUUUUUGUUCAACUGUGCGAGAUUCAUUUCUCAAACGAUGUCUAAGAAAGGAUCACACGUUUAAUUACUUGAACGUUAAAAAAUACAACUCUUAGCAAUGGAUAUCUAGGUUCUCGCAACGAUGAAGAACGCAGCGAAAUGCGAUACGUAAUGCGAAUUGCAGAAUUCAGUGAAUCAUCAAAUCUUUGAACGCAAAUUGCGCUCUUGGGUAGCCCUAGGAGCACGCCUCUCUCAGUAUCGGUUCAAAUCAAUCUCAGCAGCGUGUUUGUUUAAUUAAUUUUAAUUCGUUAAAAUAUAAAUUAAAGAAAGGCGUGUUGGCUGGAAAAUGAGAGUCUUCUGAUUUAGUUCCAGCAGUCUCUUCAAAUUUAUCGAGUGGAUGCCAUUUACAGAUUUUCAUCAGC
Molecule: ribosomal RNA, 701 nt
Filed under: uncultured fungus
Lineage: Eukaryota; Fungi
Description: eukaryotic LSU rRNA
Rfam family: 5.8S ribosomal RNA (bases 387-540)
Source: RNAcentral